Molecule: unclassified non-coding RNA, 230 nt
Filed under: plant metagenome
Description: partial contains small subunit ribosomal RNA, internal transcribed spacer 1, and 5.8S ribosomal RNA
Source: RNAcentral
UCUCCGUAGGUGAACCUGCGGAGGGAUCAUUACAGAGUUCUCGCCCUCACGGGUAGAUCUCCCACCCACUGUUAUCGUUACUGUCGUUUCUUUGGCGGGCCGCCGGGUCCCCGGCCGCCGGCGCCUAGCUGCCGGCGCGCGCCCGCCAGAGGCCUUCAAACUCUGAAUGUUAGUGUCGUCUGAGUACUAUAUAAUAAUUAAAACUUUCAACAACGGAUCUCUUGGUUCUG